CAACGCUGGCGGCGUGCCUAACACAUGCAAGUCGAACGCGAAAAGGGCUUCGGCUCUUAGUAGAGUGGCGAACGGGUGAGUAACGCGUGGGUGACCUACCUUCGAAUGGGGGAUAACGUCCCGAAAGGGACGCUAAUACCGCAUAACGUCCUGCUUUUGAACAGGUGGAGAUCAAAGCCGGGGAUCGCAAGACCUGGCGUUUGAAGAGGGGCCCGCGUCUGAUUAGCUAGUUGGUGAGGUAACGGCCCACCAAGGCGACGAUCAGUAUCCGGCCUGAGAGGGCGGACGGACACACUGGGACUGAGACACGGCCCAGACUCCUACGGGAGGCAGCAGUGGGGAAUUGUUCGCAAUGGGCGCAAGCCUGACGACGCAACGCCGCGUGGAGGAUGAAGGUCUUCGGAUUGUAACUCCUGUUGCCCGGGACGAAAAGCUUCGACCUAACACGUCGAAGUCUGACGGUACCGGGUGAGGAAGCCCCGGCUAACUCUGUGCCAGCAGCCGCGGUAAUACAGAGGGGGCAAGCGUUGUUCGGAAUUACUGGGCGUAAAGGGCGCGUAGGCGGCCCGCUAAGCCGAACGUGAAGUCCCCGGGCUCAACCCGGGAACUGCGUCCGAUACUGGCAGGCUUGAAUCCGGGAGAGGGAUGCGGAAUUCCAGGUGUAGCGGUGAAAUGCGUAGAUAUCUGGAGGAACACCGGUGGCGAAGGCGGCAUCCUGGACCGGUAUUGACGCUGAGGCGCGAAAGCC
Molecule: ribosomal RNA, 748 nt
Filed under: uncultured soil bacterium
Lineage: Bacteria
Description: bacterial SSU rRNA
Rfam family: Bacterial small subunit ribosomal RNA
Source: RNAcentral